CUCAACAACUGAUAGCACGGAUAGCCAGAAUAUAUUUCUGCCCUCCAAUCAACCUAAAAUAAGUCAGCUUAAGGGUUAAAAUAGCUGAUCAAGUGGUAUUUGUUGUUGAUCGUGUUUGGCUGUGCAGUUUCGUACAUGUCAACUAUGAUUUAGUCUAUGGUCAUUACAUGCUUUAUAUCCACAUGAGGUUUGCCUACAGACGAUCCAUUGGUGAGCAAGUGAUAAAAUGCUACAUUUUUCCAAAUCUGUGAACUCCUCUGCAACUUUGAUGUUCCAAGGGAGGAAAACCGAAAUGCAAAUGGGCAGCUGCCGGGUACUAUAUGCAGCAACGUGUCCCGUUACUUGCUACUGUAGUUAUUGCACCUGAGGAUCUGAGAGCCCUUGUCAGGUCUGGUGCAGAUGGUGGGAGGACCUCUGGCCAGCUGGCUCUGUGAAUGAGUGGGAGCGUUUGGCCAUUUAUUUCUUCAGCCAUCAAGCAAAUGACUGAGAGGAAACUGCAAUUUUGCAGUUACAAAACAUUGUACCCCUUCUCAAACCAGGUACGUUUUUGUGUUGAGCAAAUCUAAAAGCUUCAGCCUAGUGUGAGCAAACAAUGCUAUU
Molecule: long non-coding RNA, 600 nt
Organism: Carassius auratus (goldfish)
Lineage: Eukaryota; Metazoa; Chordata; Actinopteri; Cypriniformes; Cyprinidae
Exons: 4
Source: RefSeq, a predicted model, not a curated record